UAAUACUGGGGGGGCAAGCGUUGUUCGGAUUUACUGGGCGUAAAGGGCUCGUAGGCGGCCACCUAAGUCGGUUGUGAAAUCCCUCGGCUCAACCGAGGAACUGCGAUCGAUACUGGGUGGCUUGAAGCCGGGAGAGGGAUGCGGAAUUCCAGGUGUAGCGGUGAAAUGCGUAGAUAUCUGGAGGAACACCCGUGGCGAAGGCGGCAUCCUGGACCGGUCUUGACGCUGAGGAGCGAAAGCUAGGGUAGCAAACGGGAUUAGAUACCCCGGUAGUCCUAGCCCUAAACGAUGAAUGCUUGGUGUGGCGGGUAUUGAUCCCUGCCGUGCCGGAGCUAACGCGUUAAGCAUUCCGCCUGGGGAGUACGGUCGCAAGGCUG
This 377-nucleotide ribosomal RNA is filed under the name uncultured Acidobacteriota bacterium. Its description in RNAcentral is "bacterial SSU rRNA". It matches the Rfam family "Bacterial small subunit ribosomal RNA", at positions 521 to 896 of the family's 1533-position model. Lineage: Bacteria; Pseudomonadati; Acidobacteriota. The record is from RNAcentral.